This 507-nucleotide ribosomal RNA is filed under the name uncultured Glomeraceae. Its description in RNAcentral is "SSU rRNA". It matches the Rfam family "Eukaryotic small subunit ribosomal RNA", at positions 569 to 1078 of the family's 1831-position model. Lineage: Eukaryota; Fungi; Glomeromycota; Glomeromycetes; Glomerales; Glomeraceae. The record is from RNAcentral.
AGCAGCCGCGGUAAUUCCAGCUCCAAUAGCGUAUAUUAAAGUUGUUGCAGUUAAAAAGCUCGUAGUUGAAUUUCGGGAUCAAUAUGUUGGUCGUGCCUUGGUACGUACUGGCAUUAUCGAUUCCUACCUUCUGAAGAACCUCGAUGUCAUUAGUUUGGUGUCUUGGGGAAUCAGGACUGUUACUUUGAAAAAAUUAGAGUGUUUAAAGCAAGCUAACGCUUGAAUACAUUAGCAUGGAAUAAUGAAAUAGGACGUUCGAUCCUAUUUUGUUGGUUUCUAGGAUUGACGUAAUGAUUAAUAGGGAUAGUUGGGGGCAUUAGUAUUCAAUUGUCAGAGGUGAAAUUCUUGGAUUUAUUGAAGACUAACUACUGCGAAAGCAUUUGCCAAGGAUGUUUUCAUUAAUCAAGAACGAAAGUUAGGGGAUCGAAGACGAUCAGAUACCGUCGUAGUCUUAACCAUAAACUAUGCCGACUAGGGAUCGGAUGAUGUUAAUUUUUUAAUGACUCA